This 245-nucleotide ribosomal RNA is filed under the name uncultured bacterium. RNAcentral's name for it is "partial 16S ribosomal RNA". It matches the Rfam family "Bacterial small subunit ribosomal RNA", at positions 524 to 768 of the family's 1533-position model. The record is from RNAcentral.
AACGUAGGAGGCGAGCGUUAUCCGGAUUUACUGGGCGUAAAGCGCACGCAGGUGGCACAGCAAGUUGGAUGUGAAAGCUCCUGGCUUAACUGGGAGAGGCCAUUCGAAACUGCUGAGCUUGAGGUUGGGAGAGGGGUGUGGAAUUCCCGGUGUAGUGGUGGAAUGCGUAGAUAUCGGGAGGAACACCUGUGGCGAAAGCGGCACCCUGGCCCACACCUGACGCUGAUGUGCGAAAGCGUGGGGAG